GACGAACGCUGGCGGCGUGCCUAAUACAUGCAAGUAGAACGCUGAAGAGAGGAGCUUACUCUUCUUGGAUGAGUUGCGAACGGGUGAGUAACGCGUAGGUAACCUGCCUUGUAGCGGGGGAUAACUAUUGGAAACGAUAGCUAAUACCGCAUAACAAUGGAUGACACAUGUCAUUUAUUUGAAAGGGGCAAUUGCUCCACUACAAGAUGGACUUGCGUUGUAUUAGCUAGUAGGUGAGGUAAUGGCUCACCUAGGCGACGAUACAUAGCCGACCUGAGAGGGUGAUCGGCCACACUGGGACUGAGACACGGCCCAGACUCCUACGGGAGGCAGCAGUAAGGAAUCUUCGGCAAUGGGGGCAACCCUGACCGAGCAACGCCGCGUGAGUGGAGAAGGUUUUCGGAUCGUAAAGCUCUGUUGUAAGUCAAGAACGGGUGUUGGAGUGGAAUGUUCACACUUUGACGGUAGCUUACCAGAAAGGGACGGCUAACUACGUG
This 497-nucleotide ribosomal RNA is filed under the name uncultured bacterium. Its description in RNAcentral is "partial 16S ribosomal RNA". It matches the Rfam family "Bacterial small subunit ribosomal RNA", at positions 28 to 507 of the family's 1533-position model. The record is from RNAcentral.